Molecule: ribosomal RNA, 211 nt
Filed under: uncultured bacterium
Lineage: Bacteria
Description: partial 16S ribosomal RNA
Rfam family: Bacterial small subunit ribosomal RNA
Source: RNAcentral
CUCGUAGGCGGCCAACUAAGUCAGACGUGAAAUCCCUAGGCUCAACCUAGGAACUGCGUCUGAUACUGGAUGGCUUGAAUCCGGGAGAGGGAUGCAGAAUUCCAGGUGUAGCGGUGAAAUGCGUAGAUAUCUGGAGGAAUACCGGUGGCGAAGGCGGCAUCCUGGACCGGCAUUGACGCUGAGGAGCGAAACGCCGAGGGGAGACGAAACG